UGAACGCUGGCGGCAUGCUUUACACAUGCAAGUCGGACGGCAGCACAGAGAAGCUUGCUUCUCGGGUGGCGAGUGGCGAACGGGUGAGUAACAUAUCGGAACGUACCGAGUAGUGGGGGAUAACUGAUCGAAAGAUCAGCUAAUACCGCAUACGUCUUGAGAGAGAAAGCAGGGGACCUUUGGGCCUUGCGCUAUUCGAGCGGCCGAUAUCUGAUUAGCUAGUUGGUGGGGUAAAGGCCUACCAAGGCGACGAUCAGUAGCGGGUCUGAGAGGAUGAUCCGCCACACUGGGACUGAGACACGGCCCAGACUCCUACGGGAGGCAGCAGUGGGGAAUUUUGGACAAUGGGCGCAAGCCUGAUCCAGCCAUGCCGCGUGUCUGAAGAAGGCCUUCGGGUUGUAAAGGACUUUUGUCAGGGAAGAAAAGGCUGUUGCUAAUAUCAGCGGCUGAUGACGGUACCUGAAGAAUAAGCACCGGCUAACUACGUGCCAGCAGCCGCGGUAAUACGUAGGGUGCGAGCGUUAAUCGGAAUUACUGGGCGUAAAGCGGGCGCAGACGGUUACUUAAGCAGGAUGUGAAAUCCCCGGGCUCAACCCGGGAACUGCGUUCUGAACUGGGUGACUCGAGUGUGUCAGAGGGAGGUAGAAUUCCACGUGUAGCAGUGAAAUGCGUAGAGAUGUGGAGGAAUACCGAUGGCGAAGGCAGCCUCCUGGGACAACACUGACGUUCAUGCCCGAAAGCGUGGGUAGCAAACAGGAUUAGAUACCCUGGUAGUCCACGCCCUAAACGAUGUCAAUUAGCUGUUGGGCAACUUGAUUGCUUAGUAGCGUAGCUAACGCGUGAAAUUGACCGCCUGGGGAGUACGGUCGCAAGAUUAAAACUCAAAGGAAUUGACGGGGACCCGCACAAGCGGUGGAUGAUGUGGAUUAAUUCGAUGCAACGCGAAGAACCUUACCUGGUCUUGACAUGUACGGAAUCCUCCAGAGACGGAGGAGUGCCUUCGGGAGCCGUAACACAGGUGCUGCAUGGCUGUCGUCAGCUCGUGUCGUGAGAUGUUGGGUUAAGUCCCGCAACGAGCGCAACCCUUGUCAUUAGUUGCCAUCAUUCAGUUGGGCACUCUAAUGAGACUGCCGGUGACAAGCCGGAGGAAGGUGGGGAUGACGUCAAGUCCUCAUGGCCCUUAUGACCAGGGCUUCACACGUCAUACAAUGGUCGGUACAGAGGGUAGCCAAGCCGCGAGGCGGAGCCAAUCUCACAAAACCGAUCGUAGUCCGGAUUGCACUCUGCAACUCGAGUGCAUGAAGUCGGAAUCGCUAGUAAUCGCAGGUCAGCAUACUGCGGUGAAUACGUUCCCGGGUCUUGUACACACCGCCCGUCACACCAUGGGAGUGGGGGAUACCAGAAGUAGGUAGGGUAACCGCAAGGAGCCCGCUUACCACGGUAUGCUUCAUGACUGGGGUGAAGUCGUAA
RNAcentral lists this ribosomal RNA (1470 nucleotides) under Neisseria meningitidis. RNAcentral describes it as "16S ribosomal RNA". It matches the Rfam family "Bacterial small subunit ribosomal RNA". Lineage: Bacteria; Pseudomonadati; Pseudomonadota; Betaproteobacteria; Neisseriales; Neisseriaceae. The record is from RNAcentral.